GCGGCAGGCCUAACACAUGCAAGUCGAGCGGAAACGAGUUAUCUGAACCUUCGGGGAACGAUAACGGCGUCGAGCGGCGGACGGGUGAGUAAUGCCUAGGAAAUUGCCCUGAUGUGGGGGAUAACCAUUGGAAACGAUGGCUAAUACCGCAUAAUGCCUACGGGCCAAAGAGGGGGACCUUCGGGCCUCUCGCGUCAGGAUAUGCCUAGGUGGGAUUAGCUAGUUGGUGAGGUAAUGGCUCACCAAGGCGACGAUCCCUAGCUGGUCUGAGAGGAUGAUCAGCCACACUGGAACUGAGACACGGUCCAGACUCCUACGGGAGGCAGCAGUGGGGAAUAUUGCACAAUGGGCGCAAGCCUGAUGCAGCCAUGCCGCGUGUGUGAAGAAGGCCUUCGGGUUGUAAAGCACUUUCAGUCGUGAGGAAGGUAGUGUAGUUAAUAGCUGCAUUAUUUGACGUUAGCGACAGAAGAAGCACCGGCUAACUCCGUGCCAGCAGCCGCGGUAAUACGGAGGGUGCGAGCGUUAAUCGGAAUUACUGGGCGUAAAGCGCAUGCAGGUGGUUUGUUAAGUCAGAUGUGAAAGCCCGGGGCUCAACCUCGGAAUUGCAUUUGAAACUGGCAGACUAGAGUACUGUAGAGGGGGGUAGAAUUUCAGGUGUAGCGGUGAAAUGCGUAGAGAUCUGAAGGAAUACCGGUGGCGAAGGCGGCCCCCUGGACAGAUACUGACACUCAGAUGCGAAAGCGUGGGGAGCAAACAGGAUUAGAUACCCUGGUAGUCCACGCCGUAAACGAUGUCUACUUGGAGGUUGUGGCCUUGAGCCGUGGCUUUCGGAGCUAACGCGUUAAGUAGACCGCCUGGGGAGUACGGUCGCAAGAUUAAAACUCAAAUGAAUUGACGGGGGCCCGCACAAGCGGUGGAGCAUGUGGUUUAAUUCGAUGCAACGC
This 944-nucleotide ribosomal RNA is filed under the name uncultured bacterium. RNAcentral describes it as "bacterial SSU rRNA". It matches the Rfam family "Bacterial small subunit ribosomal RNA", at positions 39 to 962 of the family's 1533-position model. The record is from RNAcentral.